RNAcentral lists this ribosomal RNA (1343 nucleotides) under Levilactobacillus brevis. RNAcentral's name for it is "bacterial SSU rRNA". It matches the Rfam family "Bacterial small subunit ribosomal RNA", at positions 156 to 1478 of the family's 1533-position model. The record is from RNAcentral. Lineage: Bacteria; Bacillati; Bacillota; Bacilli; Lactobacillales; Lactobacillaceae.
ACCGUUGUUUUUUUUUUAGAAAAGGGGGGCUCUCGGCCUUUCCUUUUUUGGGGAGAUCCCCCCCGGGGUUUUUUAUUUUAUGGUGGGGAAGAUAAAAGCCCCCCCACAAGGCGGGUUUAUUCCGUCCCCCGCCCUGAAGGAGGUUAUUCGGCCCCCAUUGGGGGCUGGAGCCCCGGCCCCAAUUCUCCUGCGGGGAGGCCAGCAGGAGGGAAUUCUUCCCACAAGGGACGAAAAGUUUGAUGGAGACAAUCCCCGCGUGAAUGAAAGAAGGUUUUUCGCUUCGUAAAACUUCUGUUGUUAAAAGAAGAACCCCUUUGAGAGUAACUGUUCAAGGGUUGACGGUAUUUACCCAGAAAGCCACGGCUAACUACGUGCCAGCAGCCGCGGUAAUACGUAGGUGGCAAGCGUUGUCCGGAUUUAUUGGGCGUAAAGCGAGCGCAGGCGGUUUUUUAAGUCUGAUGUGAAAGCCUUCGGCUUAACCGGAGAAGUGCAUCGGAAACUGGGAGACUUGAGUGCAGAAGAGGACAGUGGAACUCCAUGUGUAGCGGUGGAAUGCGUAGAUAUAUGGAAGAACACCAGUGGCGAAGGCGGCUGUCUAGUCUGUAACUGACGCUGAGGCUCGAAAGCAUGGGUAGCGAACAGGAUUAGAUACCCUGGUAGUCCAUGCCGUAAACGAUGAGUGCUAAGUGUUGGAGGGUUUCCGCCCUUCAGUGCUGCAGCUAACGCAUUAAGCACUCCGCCUGGGGAGUACGACCGCAAGGUUGAAACUCAAAGGAAUUGACGGGGGCCCGCACAAGCGGUGGAGCAUGUGGUUUAAUUCGAAGCUACGCGAAGAACCUUACCAGGUCUUGACAUCUUCUGCCAAUCUUAGAGAUAAGACGUUCCCUUCGGGGACAGAAUGACAGGUGGUGCAUGGUUGUCGUCAGCUCGUGUCGUGAGAUGUUGGGUUAAGUCCCGCAACGAGCGCAACCCUUAUUAUCAGUUGCCAGCAUUCAGUUGGGCACUCUGGUGAGACUGCCGGUGACAAACCGGAGGAAGGUGGGGAUGACGUCAAAUCAUCAUGCCCCUUAUGACCUGGGCUACACACGUGCUACAAUGGACGGUACAACGAGUUGCGAAGUCGUGAGGCUAAGCUAAUCUCUUAAAGCCGUUCUCAGUUCGGAUUGUAGGCUGCAACUCGCCUACAUGAAGUUGGAAUCGCUAGUAAUCGCGGAUCAGCAUGCCGCGGUGAAUACGUUCCCGGGCCUUGUACACACCGCCCGUCACACCAUGAGAGUUUGUAACACCCAAAGCCGGUGAGAUAACCUUCGGGAGUCAGCCGUCUAAGUGACAGAGAUGACUUU